Molecule: long non-coding RNA, 777 nt
Filed under: Homo sapiens (human)
Lineage: Eukaryota; Metazoa; Chordata; Mammalia; Primates; Hominidae
Description: non-protein coding lnc-GRIK2-7:1
Source: RNAcentral
AUGAACAAGUUGAAAUCAUCGCAGAAGGAUAAAGUUUGUCAGUUUAUGAUCUUCACACAAUCUAGUGAAAAAAACCGCAGUAAGUUGUCUAUCUCAAAAUGACUGGAAGUUAGAUGUUGCAACAGAUAAUUUUUUCCAAAAUCCUGAACUUUAUAUAUGAGAGAGUGUAAAAGGAUCACUGGAAAGGAAGAAGUUAGAACAACUGUACAAUAGAGACAAAGAUCCUCAAAAUGAGAAUAAAAUUGGAAUAGAUGGUAUAUAGCAGUUCUGUGAUGGCCUGGCACUCAAUCCAGCCAGCAUUAGUGUGUUGAUUAUUGCAUGGAUGUUCAGAGCAGCAAUACAGUGUGAGUUCUCCAAACAGGAGUUCAUGGAUGGCAUGACAGAAUUAGGAUGUGACAGCAUAGAAAAACUAAAGGCCCAGAUACCCAAGAUGUAACAAGAAUUGAAAGAACCAGGACAAUUUAAGGAUUUUUACCAGUUUACUUUUAAUUUUGCAAAGAAUCCAAGACAAAAAGGAUUAGAUCUAGAAAUGGCCAUUGCCUACUGGAACUUAGUGCUUAAUAGAAGAUUUAAAUUCUUAGACUUAUGGAAUAAAUUUUUGUGGAACAUCACAAACAAUCAAUACCAAAAGACACUUGGAAUCUUCUUUUAGACUUCAGUACAGUGAUUGCAAAUCACGUGUCUAAUUAUGAUGAAGGAGCAUGGCCUGUUCUUAUUGAUGACUUUGUGGAAUUUGCACGCCCUCAAACUGCUGGGACAAAAAGUACAACAGUGUAG